CACCCUCCCAGCACCUAUUGUGAGGUUAGAACUGAUUUCUGUGAUUCACCAACCCGUUUAUCAAUUCGUCCCUCCCAGCAGUCCCAACGUGUUCAGAGCUGUCUUGAAGACAUGCUUUCACGCGAAAGGUGUUUGUAGACGGUAAGACAGCCUUUCCACCACGCACUGCGGCUCACUGAAAUGCGAGAAGCAUGCAGGAGGUCCCCGGUGCUCAGAUACCAAGGAAGAGCAUUGUGACAGACUCAGCCGCUCUCUGAUAUUGAUGCUGAUAUCAGAGACAGAAAAUAACUUGUACAGCAUUUUGAGUUAGGAUAUCUAUGCAGCUUUCUAGGAGCAAGAGAUGACUUUUGGAGAAGAUACACAGUAUCAAUGCUACUUCACUGAUGAUUAGUCUAAAACUUCAGCGUUUGUCUCACCCUUGAUCCCCUCAACAUACAAAACCAUCCUGCCAGAAUCUGAUGAUUUGAGUUGAGGCUAGCUUAAAGGGAAAAAGAAAAAAAAAAUCCUUUUUGUUUGUUUGAGUGUGAAUAAACUGACUUCCAGCA
RNAcentral lists this long non-coding RNA (545 nucleotides) under Anser brachyrhynchus (Pink-footed goose). RNAcentral describes it as "lncRNA (ENSABRG00000015356.1)". Lineage: Eukaryota; Metazoa; Chordata; Aves; Anseriformes; Anatidae. The record is from RNAcentral.